This 257-nucleotide ribosomal RNA is filed under the name uncultured Eubacteriales bacterium. Its description in RNAcentral is "uncultured Clostridiales bacterium partial 16S ribosomal RNA". It matches the Rfam family "Bacterial small subunit ribosomal RNA", at positions 55 to 339 of the family's 1533-position model. The record is from RNAcentral. Lineage: Bacteria; Bacillati; Bacillota; Clostridia; Eubacteriales.
AUGGAAGUUCUUCGGAGUGGAAAUUGAUAUUCUAGCGGCGGACGGGUGAGUAACGCGUGAGCAAUCUGUCCCAGACAGGGGGAUAACAGAUGGAAACAUCUGCUAAUACCGCAUAAGACCACGAGGAGACAUCUUCUUGAAGAUGGGCUCAUAUCUGAUUAGAUAGUUGGUGAGGUAACGGCUCACCAAGUCUGCGAUCAGUAGCCGGACUGAGAGGUUGAACGGCCACAUUGGAACUGAGAUACGGUCCAAACUCC